Molecule: ribosomal RNA, 468 nt
Filed under: uncultured bacterium
Lineage: Bacteria
Description: partial 16S ribosomal RNA
Rfam family: Bacterial small subunit ribosomal RNA
Source: RNAcentral
GACGAACGCUGGCGGCGUGCUUAACACAUGCAAGUCGAACGGAAAGGCCCUGCUUUUGUGGGGUGCUCGAGUGGCGAACGGGUGAGUAACACGUGAGUAACCUGCCCUUUACUUUGGGAUAACUUCAGGAAACUGGGGCUAAUACCGGAUAGGAGCUCCUGCUGCAUGGUGGGGGUUGGAAAGUUUCGGCGGUUGGGGAUGGACUCGCGGCUUAUCAGCUUGUUGGUGGGGUAGUGGCUUACCAAGGCUUUGACGGGUAGCCGGCCUGAGAGGGUGACCGGCCACAUUGGUACUGAGAUACGGCCCAGACUCCUACGGGAGGCAGCAGUGGGGAAUAUUGCACAAUGGGCGGAAGCCUGAUGCAGCAACGCCGCGUGCGGGAUGACGGCCUUCGGGUUGUAAACCGCUUUCGCCUGUGACGAAGCGUGAGUGACGGUAAUGGGUAAAGAAGCACCGGCUAACUACGUG